AGAGUUUGAUCAUGGCUCAGAGUGAACGCUGGCGGUAGGCCUAACACAUGCAAGUCGAACGGCAGCACAGAGGAGCUUGCUCCUUGGGUGGCGAGUGGCGGACGGGUGAGGAAUACAUCGGAAUCUACUCUGUCGUGGGGGAUAACGUAGGGAAACUUACGCUAAUACCGCAUACGACCUACGGGUGAAAGCAGGGGAUCUUCGGACCUUGCGCGAUUGAAUGAGCCGAUGUCGGAUUAGCUAGUUGGCGGGGUAAAGGCCCACCAAGGCGACGAUCCGUAGCUGGUCUGAGAGGAUGAUCAGCCACACUGGAACUGAGACACGGUCCAGACUCCUACGGGAGGCAGCAGUGGGGAAUAUUGGACAAUGGGCGCAAGCCUGAUCCAGCCAUACCGCGUGGGUGAAGAAGGCCUUCGGGUUGUAAAGCCCUUUUGUUGGGAAAGAAAUCCAGCUGGCUAAUACCCGGUUGGGAUGACGGUACCCAAAGAAUAAGCACCGGCUAACUUCGUGCCAGCAGCCGCGGUAAUACGAAGGGUGCAAGCGUUACUCGGAAUUACUGGGCGUAAAGCGUGCGUAGGUGGUCGUUUAAGUCCGUUGUGAAAGCCCUGGGCUCAACCUGGGAACUGCAGUGGAUACUGGGCGACUAGAGUGUGGUAGAGGGUAGCGGAAUUCCUAGUGUAGCAGUGAAAUGCGUAGAGAUCAGGAGGAACAUCCAUGGCGAAGGCAGCUACCUGGACCAACACUGACACUGAGGCACGAAAGCGUGGGGAGCAAACAGGAUUAGAUACCCCGGUAGUCCAA
This 801-nucleotide ribosomal RNA is filed under the name uncultured bacterium. Its description in RNAcentral is "bacterial SSU rRNA". It matches the Rfam family "Bacterial small subunit ribosomal RNA", at positions 8 to 798 of the family's 1533-position model. The record is from RNAcentral.